CUUUCUCCGCCGGCGACCGGCGCGCGGGUGAGUAACACGUAUGCAACCUGCCCCUGUCAGGGGGACAACCGCCGAAAGGCGGGCUAAACCCGCGUACAUGCCACCGGGGCAUCCCGGAGGCAGGAAAGGCUUCGGCCGGACAGGGAUGGGCAUGCGGCGCAUUAGGCAGUAGGCGGGGUAACGGCCCACCUAACCGACGAUGCGUAGGGGUUCUGAGAGGAAGGUCCCCCACACUGGUACUGAGACACGGACCAGACUCCUACGGAAGGCAGCAG
This 275-nucleotide ribosomal RNA is filed under the name uncultured bacterium. Its description in RNAcentral is "partial 16S ribosomal RNA". It matches the Rfam family "Bacterial small subunit ribosomal RNA", at positions 79 to 354 of the family's 1533-position model. The record is from RNAcentral.